AGCUCCAGCAGGCAGAGUUCAUAUGAAAGGAGGCCAGGUCCAGCCUGCCCCCAUACUGGUUUUUCCUAAGGUUUUUUUUAAGGACAACGCUUCUUUUCCAGGCACUAAGAGGAAAUUGCAGCUUAUUUAAUAACUUUUGAAAAGCAUGAGGAAUGGCUAACGACUUCCCCUAAAACAAGACCGCAGAAUGGAUCUAUGAUCCUGUAUAAUAGGAAGAAGGUGAAAUACAGGAAAGACGGAUAUUGCUGGAAAAAGAGGAAAGAUGGAAAAACCACUAGAGAAGAUCACAUGAAACUGAAGGUUCAGGGA
Alligator sinensis (Chinese alligator) is the source of this 309-nucleotide long non-coding RNA. RefSeq lists it as uncharacterized. The record is from RefSeq and is a predicted model, not a curated record. Lineage: Eukaryota; Metazoa; Chordata; Crocodylia; Alligatoridae. The transcript has 3 exons.